CGGAAAUUUCCACGUGUUUGCGACAGACACAAGAGGAAGAGUGAGAAGGAUGAGGGGGGAAGCCUGAGUUUCUUCUCGUGAAAGAAGGAAAAAUGUAUAGGAAAUAGGCCUGUCAACGAACAGAGACUGGAUUUGUACGGUUUUAAGCUAUAUCAAGGAAAUAACUUACUUAUUUCAACCAAGACACAUCAGGAAAUAGUCGUUCCUCGGACGUUCUCUGCCAGAAUUAGAUUGAGAGAUCAUUCACAGCUUUGUGGAAGUUACCUGUGGCGUUGAUGUUAAGGCCAAGGCUCCAGGUCAGUGGGUGUAGUGGAGUAGAGGCAUCCCAGGGAGGAGUGAGAUUCUGGGGAUGAGAGGUACCUCCUCCCUCCCUGUCUCCCGCAGAGAAUCAGG
Molecule: long non-coding RNA, 393 nt
Organism: Oncorhynchus tshawytscha (Chinook salmon)
Lineage: Eukaryota; Metazoa; Chordata; Actinopteri; Salmoniformes; Salmonidae
Source: Ensembl